RNAcentral lists this ribosomal RNA (253 nucleotides) under uncultured bacterium. RNAcentral's name for it is "partial 16S ribosomal RNA". It matches the Rfam family "Bacterial small subunit ribosomal RNA", at positions 524 to 776 of the family's 1533-position model. The record is from RNAcentral.
UACGUAGGGGGCAAGCGUUGUCCGGAAUCAUUGGGCGUAAAGCGCGCGUAGGUGGCCCUGUAAGUCCGCUGUGAAAGUCAAAGGCUCAACCUUUGAAAGCCGGUGGAUACUGUGGGGCUAGAGUACGGAAGAGGCGAGUGGAAUUCCUGGUGUAGCGGUGGAAUGCGCAGAUAUCAGGAGGAACACCAAUAGCGAAGGCAGCUCGCUGGGACGUUACUGACACUGAGGCGCGAAAGCGUGGGGAGCGAACAGG